GUCUAUGGCCAUGCUAUCCUGAACAAGCCCGAUCCUGUCUGAUCUCGAAAGCUAAGCAGAAUCAAGCCUGAUUAGUACUGGGAUGGGAGACCACCUAGGAAGACCAGGUGCUGUAGGUG
Molecule: ribosomal RNA, 119 nt
Filed under: Pteropus vampyrus (large flying fox)
Lineage: Eukaryota; Metazoa; Chordata; Mammalia; Chiroptera; Pteropodidae
Source: RNAcentral